Cyprinus carpio carpio is the source of this 662-nucleotide long non-coding RNA. The record is from Ensembl. NCBI's taxonomy places the organism in Eukaryota, Metazoa, Chordata, Actinopteri, Cypriniformes, Cyprinidae.
CAGAGAAUGCACAGGUUGCAGAGACAGUACCAGAGACAAUGAAGGAACAAAGACCAAAAAGAAACGUUAAACCUCCAGAAAGACUGAUUGAAGUUAUGUGAAGUGUUGAAUUACAAGGGACUUUAGUUUCUAUGGUAAAAAAGGGAUCUACAAGUCGCUGCUAUCUCAACAAUACACGAAACAAUGGCUGACAAUUACCAGGGUGGUUUUGAGAAUCAGGAUUUCGACGAUGGUUUGGAACAGAUCCUUGAAGAGCUAUUCGAUGAGGCGGAGCUAUUUGGUUGUGAUGAUGAUGGCGCUGUUAAUAACGGUGAGCACGUUGAUUCCGACAGUCACGUGCUAAUGUUACUUACAGAGGCCGCUUUACAAGAGGUUGUGGUUAGCGUGGACGUCACAAAUCCCGCCCCCAGACCCAUUCCGUCUUCAGAGGAACGGUCUCACACGCUCCCAGACUGCUCAAGUGUUCACAUCCCAGGUGCUUCCAGGCCGCGUCACUCACAGGGUCAGGGGGUAAAACGUUUGAGGUUAGCGGAGCACGAAACGGAUGAUGCUCCGACCACUAGCCAUUUAAGGACUUCGGAGAAUAACAGUAUGUAUUAAAACAGAAAAUCUUGUUAUUACUUUUAUAUACUUUCUACACAUAGAUGUACCAUGUAUGUGAG